GAUAUGGUCCCAGGACAGCCAAGAUGGUGGUUUCCUGUCUCUUUCGGGAUGUGUUUGGAGGGUGACCCUGGAGUCGAGGAGGCACUAAAUUCCAGGAGAAAAUGACACGAUGGGGACGGCGCUGGCGGUUGCCCCGCACACUGCCAGCUAAGGGAACUUUCUAGCCCCUGGCGCUGGGGUGAGGGACAGGGGCAGGGGCAGGGCGGUUCCCAGAGCCUCACUUUCUAAGUCGUCUACACUGCACUCCUGGGGGGCCAGACUGCUCGGCGCACCCCGAUUCCAAGAACCGCACCCCAAUUCCGGGAAUCGCGCUGGCCUGCGAGGUGGAUGCACUCUUACAGUAAGGACAUGGUGUCCCCUGGACAUCCGAGCUCUGUGCGGGAUCCGGGUGUGAGAUCCCCGUGCGCGACAGGGGCGUGAGCGGGAGUACCCUGGGGCUUUUAUGCCCACCCAAUGCUCAGACCUUGGAUCCUGGAGCUGGGAGCGAAAGGGUGGGGACCCGGACCGAUCGUGCUGUCCCUACCUGCGCCGUUCAUCUUCCUGCCGCUGCAGCCGCGACCCUGGGUUUUUUGGUUUUUCUCUUACUCUUGCACCCUCAGGAUUGGAGCAGGUGAGGGUGACUGCGUCCUGUGUGCAUUGGAAGAGAUCUGGCCCUUGGGGACCUCGGAGCCUGGAGGACUUGGCAAGAAUGCGGGGACCUUCUGGUCCACUGGCCCAGUAUCUCCAGUCCCUGACUGGGUCCUGUGUUUCUGUGUUUCUGUUCUGUGAGGACUGCUUUCCAUCACUGAGGACACAUCAGGCUGUGACAAAGGAAAUCCCAGCCCAAGAGUUACAGCUGUGGCACUGUCAGCCCCAGGCCAGUGCUGGCUUCCUGGGCUACACAGGGCUGGGGAUUUCAGCAGAAGUGGGUGGUGGACCCUCAAUUUAUGCUCCUCUGAGCCCAGAGAGGAGUAGAAAGCUGUCUCUGGGGUCUCAGGACAUCGUUGUACAUGUCACCCUCUGUCUUCUCUGUGUUGGGGGUAAGAGAUCACUUGAAAUGGGGACAGAUGAAUGGGACACUUGUCUGCUGCACUCUGCUGUCCCUCAAGAGCUCAUGGUGGUGUCAGAAAUAGGGGCUGAGGGCCAGUGACUUACAUGGCACCAGGUGGGGAGUGGGGCUGCGUGGAGCUCAGGCACUGGGCUUCCCAGGGAAGCAGCAAGGAAGGGACGAGCCUGAGGUGAGGCCUGGAGAAGCACAAGGUGGCACACGGGGGUGCCGAGAGAACUGUGCUGUGGGCAGGCCAGGAGCAUGUAUAAGAGAAACUGAGCCAUUGGCCACUGGCCUGAGCGUGAACCUCGUCCUGCUGGGAAUGGGAGCCGGGGGCUGUCUGUGGGGAGGGAAUGGUGUGGUGACACCACUUGGUGAGAGGUCGGGUCAAGCUUAGAGGCAACCUAUGAGGCAAAGGCAGAGGCAGAGCCAUGGAAGAUCAGGCCUGAACUUAGCCAUGUAUGCUGGAGGGCUUCCUGGAGGAGGCAGGCUUUGCUCGUUGACCUUUCAGAGCUGGCUAGGCUGUAGGCUGGGUGGGUGGAAAGGGGCCCAUGGGCCGGGGUGGGAGGGCAAGGAUGGUGGGCAGGGCCUCCACUGGCUCCCCAAGGAAGGGUGGGGGCCUGGGCAGGGCCGCCUGGUUAUCAUUGGGUGGGGUCAAGGUCUAGGAGGAAGCGGCCACCCUCUUCCGCCAGGCACUUUUCCCUCGCCCGUCGGGCUGGUGGCCGCUGGCCGCACCCGAGGCCAGCUCUCUUCGAGGCCCAGGCUGGUCCAACACACACCCAGCAGCAGGGGCCUGGCUGGCUUCCUGCCCUCUUGGGUGGGCGGGUGGUGGGAGGAAAACUGCCCUGAGCCUCCUCCAAAACAGGAAACUGCUCUCCUGCUUCCUGGAGGACAGGAACUAUCCCCAUGGCAACUGUGGGACAAAGGGGCUGCAUUAACCCUUCCCAGGGCGGGCCUGGCUGGCGUGGCCACUGGCCAGCCUCUUCUGGUAUGGCACUGGGCAGGUGACUUGCCCUGAGCUCCCCCCAUUAGCUGAGUGAAACAUGGAGAAGACUCUGGGCUGAGGGCUGGCCACACAGGAAGCCGAGGGCCACCAUAGGACAGCUAGGCCUGGGGCCAGGCAUCUGUCUCUGCGCCAGGGGAGCAAAGGUGUGCAAGGCACUGUGUGGGUACCCUGGAACAUUGCUGGUCUGUUCCCCACAGCCUAGGCCUGGGGUACACAGACACUGACAAAACUCUGUCCCCAGGCAGACCUUAUGGCCGAGAAGGCUGCAAUCCUUGGGACAGCUAACGGAAGGAGUGAGGAUAGGAGUGGGGUGGUAGGGGACUGCAGCCCCAGGCCACGGGGUGUGAGGCUCUGGGUUCAGGCUGGCCCUGCCUCCCUCCCAAUAUGCCCUGCUGGGCUUCGGUCAGCAGAGUCUCAGGACACGAGAGGUGUCUUUCUGGGGACCUCACCUGGUGUGAAACCUGCAAAGGCCAAACGCAGGGAGAGGCAGCCCUGGGCUGUGGUGAUGGGGGCCAAGGAGCGGGAGGCCCUGUGCCUGAUGCUGGAUGCUGGCAGCCUCAGGAGCCCAACCUUCCCUUCACUAGUGAUGCCCCGAGGCUGUGUUGGGGACACAGUCCCAGCUGGAGGCAGCAAGCACUACAGCUCUGUGUUGCUCUGAAAAGGGGACCUUUUCUGCUGUCCCUCCUGUGGCCCCUGGGUCCCCUCAGCGCCCGCCUCCACAUUGCUUUGCCACUGUCUCUUCCCCAACCCUGGGUUUACCAUACCAGCUUCUCCCUCUGCGAGCCUUAGAGCCUUGCUUCUUCCAGCCCCAGGGCCUUUGAGCCUACUAUUCCAGCCCAUGGCCAGACUGUCUUCCUUGCCACUACCGCUGAGUCCCUUUCCAUGACACCCUCAACACCAAGCCUUAGACACUUGAUGCAUCUCUCCCUACCCACACACACCUAGAAUACAGUGUAACAUGUAAAUGAAGCCUGGUGAGAGAUUAGCACCAAUAAUCAUAAGAGUGGCUGUGACAAUAUACUGCGGUAAAAGUUAUCUAAAACAUGCCUCAAUUGUCUGUAAUUUCCCACAUAGUAUUUUCAGACUGCAUUGGCCAUGGGCCUGUUGGUCUGAAGUAGAGCCUGCAUUCCGUGGCCUAAGACCCCAACACCCCCAGAGCCCAUCAACAGCAGCUGCUGUGACCUGCGCCAGGUGGUCACCAAACUUCCUCACCUUGCCAUGGGACCCAAGGCGUCAGGGGAGUUAGCUGAGGACUGGAUCCAAAGACUAACUGCUCACGCUGAGGCAGAGCCACUGUGUCUCUGGCUGUUGUGUGAGUUCUUCUGCAAGCCUGAGGGACAAAGACUCUGGCCUGGAGGUUGCUUUGGCAGAGGUUGUACAUCUCAGGGGGCAGAAGGCUGAACAAAACCGUGCCACUUAAGGCCAAUCAGUCCCAGGGUUCCCUCCAAAGGCAAAUGCCCACAGGGGACCUAGGAUCUCCCCCAGGCUUGCCCAGCUGGGGUUGGGUCUGAGGACCUUUGGACUCAACCUACAACAGGCAGGUUCCAUCCCCAAGAACUGCUGGGCUGGUAUGUGUGUUGACUACAUCACUCCCAUGUUAUGGAUGAGUAAACUGAGGCUCCAAGGGGUGCACUGCAUGCCCCAAGGUUCCUGCCUUCUCUGAUAUCUCCCAGAGCCUCUGUACAACCAGGAAUGAGAGGCUCAAGGUGAACUUGUGGGGUAUCAUGGUCAGCGCAGAGGUGUGGGGACCCGAGCUUCCCACCAGCAGAGUUGGGUUGGGUGAGAUGAGGUGAGUCCUGGUAGAGCCUGGAGUCUUCCUUCAGAGAAAUGGGGUCCAGGCUCAUGGCCCUGUUAAAAGGAGGGGGCUGUGGGGAGGUCAGGAGUCUCAGUAGGGGCCAUCAAGAGGGCCGAGAAUGAGAACACUGGUGAUCCCUUCCCCAGGUGCCUGGUGUCCUGCUGGGGGUUCCCAGGAAGAAGGCAUGCAGGCUGGCUCUGCAGAGAGGUGGCAAUGUCACCUUCCCAGGCACCAGGAGAAUGGUAGCUUGAGACGGGAGCAUUAAUUUAUUUUCCUGCUAGAGCCUGGUCUCUGCAGACCUUAUUAAUUAACUUAAUGGUGCCUGUGCAGCCAGGCAUGCACACAGAGAAUGCUAAGGAAAGUGUGACCCCCGUCACAGCACUGUCCCUUGCUGUCCCCUUCCCACCAAGCCCAGCCACCCAGAGAAACGCAUCCAGCUGGCCCACCCACCUCACUGCCAUGGUGCUCCAUCCCUCUAGAAAAGGUGGCCAGUGGCACCCAGCACAUCCUGUGGGAGCAGCCUGCUCCUUGUCAGCUUAGGAGUCAGGGAGGAGGGCCAGGCACAAGGGCUACCAAGGCCAGCAGGAACCCCAAUUGGCUUCCUACCAUGUGAGCUGGGGAUGGACAGAGCCUUGGACAGUCCUUCCCUCCUAGGCCAUCCUCUCCCCUUGGAGGACAAACUGCAGCCUGCUUGGGGAGGCUUGAUGCUACCAUGAGGGUCAUUGACAUAUCCGACCCAGUGCAGGCAGCAACCAGGAAGGUGUCCUCCAGCAGGAGAGGUUUGUGUCCCAGGCCAGAUCGACCCAAAAGCCUAGAGGGAUUUGCCUCCAGCUGUAGGCCCAGCCUCAACACCCCGUGCUCCACUGUGGACUGGCAGUGUCCCACCCCCAAAGUGGGAGCUGAUAGUGGUGUCAAGUCUCUAUUUUAAUUAAGUAGUUAAUUCAUCUAUUUUGAGGCAAGGUCUCAUUCUGUAGCCCAGGCUUGCCUCCCACUCACAGUGAUCCUUCUGCCUCAGCUUCCUGAGUGCUGGGAUCAUCUUUUCACAGACAAGGACACAGAAGCCCAGAGACUGGCUGCAGACCAUGGCUGGUGAUGGGGAAGAUGGGAUCCGGGUCUGCUGUGACUGCUCCUUCAGUCUCAACUCAGAGGUUUCCUGAGACAGAGACAGUUUGGCCUCCACAGUAGCAUAGCAGCAUUGGGCGGGAGCAGGGGCUGUCAGGUCCUGGGCACCCCAGAUGGGCGCCCAGCCUCAGCACCCCGUGCUCCACUGUGUGGACUGGCAGUAGCCCCACAGCCUGGCUCCUCCCCAGCAGCCAGGGAACCCUGCUCACCAGCACCUUCUGGGGCCAGGGCUUCCGGACCAGACCCGUCUGUUUGGGUAGGGGCAUCUGUGGUCUGGUUCUUCACCCAACUGAGAAACUUGGGGACCACAUAGAGUAGAACAGCAGCGUGAGACUUUCCAGAUGGUGUGAGCUGGGGACAGGAGAAGCCAGGUGCCCAGCAUGUGGCCACAGUGUCACUGCACCAGUCCCAGUGCUGGUCCCAGCCCAGCACAAGGCGGGUGCUACACUGCAUGGAUGAAACAGCACGUGCGCUGCUACUCUGAGGUGGAGAUGCAGAUGGGUAAACUGAGGCUUGGGAAAGCUCCUGCAGCCAGAGGCUCCUAAAGCCCACGUCCUGUGUGUCUGCUGCACUUCCUCACCGACCCAGACCCAGCCUUCCUUUUCUUGACCCCAGCAAGGAGAGUGUUUACCUCAGCCAGAGUUUAUUCUCCCAGUUUUCCAACUGUUGAUCCCAAGCGUUCCACACAUGUCCCGCGAAGAAAAACAUGUUUUCCUCACUCGGCUCUCAACUUCCAAACAGCACCGCAUGCUGAGGGCCUGGGCUCCGCUGAGGAAAGCGUGGGGUGACUUUCCCUUGGCCAUUUGAUGUUUUUCCAUCGCACGGUCAGGGGACAACAAAACAUGUUUUCCUUUUUCUCCAAAGGAUUGGAACUUUCUGAUUGACCACUCAGUCCUGAAACUUGAACUGUUCCCCCGCUAUUGUCUUUGGGCAGAUGAGACGUGUAGGUUCAUGGAAAAUAAAGGACUGUCGCUUGUUUUACUCAA
Cavia porcellus (domestic guinea pig) is the source of this 5936-nucleotide long non-coding RNA. RefSeq lists it as uncharacterized. The transcript has 4 exons. Lineage: Eukaryota; Metazoa; Chordata; Mammalia; Rodentia; Caviidae. The record is from RefSeq and is a predicted model, not a curated record.